GAUGAACGCUAGCGGCAGGCCUAACACAUGCAAGUCGAGGGGCAGCACAAAGAUAGCUUGCUAUUUUGGUGGCGACCGGCGCACGGGUGCGUAACGCGUAUGCAAUCUACCUUAUACUGGGGUAUAGCCCGAAGAAAUUCGGAUUAAUCCCCCAUAGUACUGAUAUACCUCAUGGUAAUUCAGUUAAAGUUUCGGCGGUAUGAGAUGAGCAUGCGUCCUAUUAGCUAGAUGGUAAGGUAACGGCUUACCAUGGCUACGAUAGGUAGGGGGCCUGAGAGGGUGACCCCCCACACUGGUACUGAGACACGGACCAGACUCCUACGGGAGGCAGCAGUGAGGAAUAUUGGUCAAUGGGCGCAAGCCUGAACCAGCCAUGCCGCGUGCAGGAAGAAUGCCCUAUGGGUUGUAAACUGCUUUUAUUUAGGAAUAAACCUUUCUACGUGUAGAAAGCUGAAGGUACUGAAUGAAUAAGCACCGGCUAACUCCGUGCCAGCAGCCGCGGUAAUACGGAGGGUGCAAGCGUUAUCCGGAAUCAUUGGGUUUAAAGGGUCCGCAGGCGGGCGUAUAAGUCAGUGGUGAAAUCCUGCAGCUUAACUGCAGAACUGCCAUUGAUACUGUACGUCUUGAAUUCGGUCGAAGUGGGCGGAAUGUGUAGUGUAGCGGUGAAAUGCAUAGAUAUUACACAGAACACCGAUAGCGAAGGCAGCUCACUAGGCCUGGAUUGACGCUCAGGGACGAAAGCGUGGGGAUCAAACAGGAUUAGAUACCCUGGUAGUCCACGCUGUAAACGAUGAUUACUCGUUUUCGGCGAUAUACUGUCGGAGACUAAGCGAAAGUGAUAAGUAAUCCACCUGGGGAGUACGAUCGCAAGGUUG
RNAcentral lists this ribosomal RNA (875 nucleotides) under uncultured bacterium. RNAcentral's name for it is "bacterial SSU rRNA". It matches the Rfam family "Bacterial small subunit ribosomal RNA", at positions 28 to 896 of the family's 1533-position model. The record is from RNAcentral.